CCUGUCACUUCCAGCAGAGUCGUUAGUGUAAUGCAGUUGAACUGUCAGCGGCAGGUGUGUGCCUGCAGCUCCGGACUAGCUUAAAAUAUCAACAAUGGCGGCCAGAAAGUACACGGAGCACAGUUUAAUAGUUUUAAACAACAAGAGUUCUUUUAGUCAAUGUAAAAGCAACCGGUGUCGUAGGCUCUUUUUUUCUUUUUCUUUUUAAUCCUUCUCUCGUGACCGGCGGACUACUACCGUACUUUGGAUCGCCUUCGUUGAAACACGAGGGGAAAACCAACAACUUGAUGUGUCGCUUUUUUUCUCUCCAUAAUAUUCACUUUUAAGACCAACGUCGACGGUCUUUCGGGGUGUUUGUGCAAGUUUGAGGCGCUCGGGGACUCACCUUGGGACGCUGGAGAUGAUGCGUCGUCGCUGCCAUCCUGGUCCGCCAUUUCUCCUGACGUCACCCGGAUAACCUGCCCGGAGGAUUCCGGCUCGGCUCCCCGCCCCCCUCACCUCAUACGGCCAGGCUUACCGUGCUGUGAACCCGCCGUGAGACGGCCACUGAUUGGCGGCGGCGAGACGGAAACCAUGGCAACCAGCUGUUUUGGCAUUUCCAGCCACGGAUGAGGAGGCAGACGGGGAGGAGAAAUUGGCCUGCAGCUUCCUCCCCGUGUGAAUGACGACAGUGUUUUCUCACCAUCCACAACGAGCCAGUGUUUGUACGCAUCAGGCUCCAGUUGAUAGACUGAUCCAGCCCCCGCCCGACAAUGAAAGCAAUGAGAACGGGAUGUCAUCUGGAGACAAGAGGACAUCUCACACUUUCCAACGUCUCAAUGCGAAGGGAUGCACACGCAGCUGCUUCUGCCUCAUCGCGCUCAUCUUUGCAGAUGACGAAUGUUUCAAGACUUAAUUUCCCAUACAAAAAUUUAAAAUGAAUGCCUGUGUGUUCAACCCUUUCGACACAACUUAUGAAAUACUUUGGAUGAAUACACAUCAAUUCCGGAUGUACGAAAACAGGGACCAAAUUUAGCCGGAAAAAAAAUAUAUAAUUGAAAACCGAAUCAUACAAAAACUAGGGCAUAUUAAAAGUACGGUUCCACUGUACAGUAUGUGCCUUUUAGGAUUGACACCUUACUCACAAAGGAAUACAGUAUAUCAAACAACAAAGCUAAGAAAAAACUACAAUUCAAUAUCUUCCCCACUAUCUAAUGGCUUCUUCUUCUUCCUCGACAAACACAGUGUUACCUUUACCCUUGGUUGCGCUUUACCAAGUAAUAUGCGAGGCCACUUUUGUUGGCUUCAAACUGUUUUAACAGCUGUCGGCUAUCCGCUGACGAAUAGGCCUCCUUGUCAGUGCCUCGUGAUUUGUUUAGUAGCAGAUGCUUGUGUCCGCAGGUGCUACGUGAAACGUGUCAACAUACACGCGGCCCACACACUGACACACUUCUAUGAAUGCAAUCAUAUUGAGGCAAUUCAAAUGACAGCCAGAUAAAGAUUUGCCUUCCAGAGACAAACAAUAACCUUCCAUGUGUCCGAUCCAUAAACAGAACAAGGUCAUUCGCGACGGCGUCCAAUCGACCGGUUGAACCUACCAGUGUGUGUAUCUGACAGCUUCACUCAAUCAUUUGACAUUUUAGUCAACCAGGCGACGAUAUUCGAAAUAUUACUAGGGUGAGCUACGUUUGCUUGGCAACAAAGUUUCUUUUGAGGCUAGCAUCCAUCAUAUUUGAUUAUGGUUCACAUCUCAAAACAUUUGUAAAUUGGGUCACUCAUCUCUCAAGUCACCACCGUAUGACGAAAUGCCAGUAUUACAAACCACAAUGGUACCUUGACUUACAAUUGCCCCUAAAUUACAAUUUUUCUUUAUUUUAGAGCUGUUGCUUCAGCUACAUCGCUGCUCGAGUGAAGUAGAGAAAAAAUGAGCAAUUAAUGUACGGUAAUGCCCUUGCAUGUGCACAUGGAGAGUCACAGUUGCACUUUCAGGUGUUCAUUGAACGGGACAGUCAAUCACGCAAAUACAAAAUGAGAACACUUGCAAGGAGGUGCUGGAUGCCACAGCUCAAACCCAGACUCUCACAUGCAGACUAACCGAGCAACCAGACUCCAGCUCCUGACAUCACUCACUCAGCCACGCUCCUUAAAGGUGCACAUCCAACAAACGAAUACUACAAUACGUACAGUAUUUAAACUUUAUAAAACCAGUUUAUUUUUUUACAUUCUCUUUUAUUAUGUUUUUAUACAACACUUUGAAAUGUUUACAUUAGUAGCUGGAACUGGUUGAAGACAUUUCAAUUCAUUUCUAUUGGGAAAUUGAUUUGAAUCCCAAGUCCUAAGGUAUUGCUCUGAGGCUAUCGAGCAUUGCUAAUGAUUUGGCUUCAAUUGCACCAUUUUACUCGCCCUCUGUGACUGCGCAAGGUUCAAAUGACACACUGGCUAUUGUUGGUCUUUCCUUGGGUAUAAGAAAAUGCGUGAAAGGCGAGCAAGGAGAACGAUUGGCAAGGUCACAGGAGAAGCGGGGCUAGAGGUGGAAGGGGGGGCUGCUACAGGAGAUAGAUAAUGAUAUC
Phyllopteryx taeniolatus (common seadragon) is the source of this 2549-nucleotide long non-coding RNA. RefSeq lists it as uncharacterized. The record is from RefSeq and is a predicted model, not a curated record. The transcript has 3 exons. NCBI's taxonomy places the organism in Eukaryota, Metazoa, Chordata, Actinopteri, Syngnathiformes, Syngnathidae.